AUUGUUCCUCGAAGUUGCCCACGCGUUGUAUUUAGAUUCAAUUUUCUUAAACAUUUACACUAGAUUACCUCAGUUACCUUUUUAUUAAUUAUUACGUAUCUAGUCUUACGUACCGUGUUAAAAGGUGUGUCACAAUGAAACCAGGACGAUCAAAGCUUAUGUUAAAACUGGUGGAAGAAAGAAGCAAAAAUGCACAAAUUACGAAUUUUACUCAUGAAGAGUGCACUGAUGAGGAGGACUGUAUACCAGGGACUCCAGAAUGCCAUUCACCUUUACCUCCAGGAGUACGCCAUGCAAUAGUAAAAUGAACGACGUUUAUGAGAAUGUAUUUGCAGACGAUGUACACCGAGCAAACGAAAGUAUUACAGAUGAAAAUAGGAAUCAAAACAUACCAUCCUCUACUUGUUUUCUUAGAGAAAAUCACUUUAUAGUUGGAUAUCAAAAUGCUUCCACACCAGAUUUACUCUCGUCAGAAAAUCAACAUACCGUGUCCCUAAAUAUCAGCCCAGCUUUAAGCCCUUUAAAUACCUCUAUCUUGAUAUCAGAUAUAUCACCUUUCCCACAACCGAUUAACCGAUUGCCAUUACCAGCAAAAGGCCAUGGCGAAGUCUGUAACGAUUUUUGUUGUUGCACUCAUGAUGAAGCGGACUAUAGCAACUGUCCUUCAAUCAACACAGUUGUGUCCUCAUGCCAGUCGUGUCCUCCAGUGCCUCGUAUUCGAUGUAGAGGUAAAGAACGAAUCCGAAAUUACGAUGAUUGAAAAGAAGUUACUAGAAAGCGCUUAAAAAUACCGGGAAAUAAACUCCUCCAAAAAGGGCCUUUUUGUUCCUUCAAAAACUAUGGGUGCCUACCCAGUACUUGCGCGUGUAAAAGUAAAUGUUACACUAUGUUGACCCUUGAAGAAAGACAGGGUGCAUUUGAUAAGUUUUGAGAAUUAGGUGAUUGUGAGAAACAAUGGUUGUAUGUUGCGAAUUAUACUACAAAACAGCAGAAGAAAAGGGGUCUUCAAAGAGCUUUAAAGCAUAACCGUCAAUUCACUAACAAUUAUUUUUUGCCAAAAAAAUCAUCAACAAUAGAGGAUUGUAAAAUCAUGUUUUUAAGUACAUAUUCGAUUAGCGAAAGCUUAGUUCGGACAGCUUGGGAUAAGUAUGACGGAAGCACUUUGAUUGAAGAAGACAUGAGGGGGAAACAUUAUAGAGCAGCGUCCAAAUGGCUGUAUUUAGGUGACUUCGGUGACUUCAGCAUCGGUCGGAUGUUCAAUUUAUACAAAGAAUUGUCUGAACUCCAGCCUUAAAGAAAGCUUAUGUAGGUCUAAUUCCAAUCAGUAAUGAUAAAUAUAACAAUCUUAUUAGUCUUUGCAAUUCCUCAAUAAUACCCACGAAAUAUCAUAAAUUUUUCAGAAGUUUAACUCAUGGACGUAAUGUUACUGAAGCUGGUAAUGAAUCCGACUGAAUAAUUGUGCACUAGGGUUUUUUUUUAUAAUUUUAGUUAUUUUAUUGUUAUUAUUUUGAUCUCUGAAGUUGUGAUUGUUAAGAUUUUUUUCAUUUUAAUUAAUGUUUUUUUCUUUUCUUUAUAAUUAAAUUCUAUAUAAUGAUUAGUAUUUAAAUUUUUAGGUUAGUAAUUUACCAAAAAAUCAGUAAUCAUAUCCAAAUAGAGUCAACAUUAUAGUCUGCUUAGUCUAUAUAGUAAUAAAAGAAUACCUACUAUUGAUAAUAAAUACUUAAUUUAAGCAUAAUGUAUAUCAUGUUGAUUAAAAAAGAGUAAGACCAA
Long non-coding RNA from Bombyx mori (domestic silkworm), 1770 nucleotides. RefSeq lists it as uncharacterized. The transcript is spliced from 2 exons. The record is from RefSeq and is a predicted model, not a curated record. Lineage: Eukaryota; Metazoa; Arthropoda; Insecta; Lepidoptera; Bombycidae.